GCCCCCUUGAUUUAAUUUUAUUUUCUUGAGAUCCCUUGAGCAAAAUUAUAAAUAACGAUACCUGGAAUACUUAUCCUGGUGAAAUGCUACAAUGAGGUGAUUUAUCUGUGCGCUUGCGGAUAGAAUAGAUUAUUUUCUAGAGAGCCUUUACAUUUAUAAAUACCUUUGUACACUCUAGCGCCAUGCUAGGGAUGACAACCUAGUAUCUAAGUGGUGUUAGCUAGUGUCAACAAGCAUUUCUGGCGCCGUUGCCGGGGAACUUAUAGGAAUUUAUACGAGUCUCAGGAAUAAGUCAUAAAAGGGAACAAAAGGAUAAUAUUUAGGCAAGCCAGAAAAUCAAUCAAGGUUAUUCAUAUAAAAUAUUAGACUAGACUAUAGAGAAAUAAUUGCAUAAAAAACAGCUACUAAGUGAGAAAUCAUAACAAGGCACCUCUGCUUUGGCAGGUUCACCCUGUUGUUUUUCUAUGUUUAUAUUUUUAUACAGGGUAUAACAGGAUUGACUUUGGGUACAUUCAACUCUCGAUCAUCAGAACCAAAGCAAUCAAGAGAAGAAGAAGCUAGAUACCAAUUGCUGAAGCUAUGGCACAAAAGACCUUGCAAGAAUUCUCUGCUCCAAGCCUUGAGAACAUUCUAACUGGUCCAAGAUUUGCAGUAGAAGAAGGAAUACCUGAGUUUGAGCUCAAGUCAAGCCUCAACAAUUUGGUGUAAGCCACACAAUUUAGUGGAAAGGCACAUGAAGAUGCUAGUGCACACUUGCAGAAUUUCUUAGAGAUUGGAAGCACAAUCCACAUCAAUGGAGUUGACAAAGACGUCAUACUGCUUCGCCUUUUUCCAUUCUCACUAGAAGGGAAAGCGAGGAAGUGGUUCUACACUCAUCAAGAUAACAUCAACAACUGGACGAACUUGUCAAAUGCCUUUCUAUCAAAGUUUUUCCCUAUAGGCAAAACAACUGCCUUAAGAGGAAAUAUUGUCAGUUUCCAACAACAGAAGACAGAAGCCAUUUCAGAAGCAUGGGAGCGUUUUCAAGGAUACAUAUCAGAUUGUCCUCACCAUGGAAUGGCCACAUGGUUACUUAUGCAGACCUUCUACCAUGGAUUAACCCAGAAGGCUCGUGAGUGCCUAGAUGCAUCUGCUAAAGGAUCAUUCUUGGAGCUUACAACUGGAAAAGCAAAGAUACUUUUGGAUAAGAUAGCAGAAAACCAAAGCUGGUUCCAAGAUAAAGCUCAACAAUGUCAUCAAACUGAAGAAAUACCAGAAGAAGUAAAUGCAUUAUCAACUAAGAUGGAAAAUUUGCUCCAUUGGAUUGACCAGAGGGCCAAGUUUAAAAAAGAUCAAAGGGCCAUUGAGACAGCAUACAAAUAUCAACCAACUUCAAGUCAACCCAAUAGCAAAGGUAUGAAUUCAGGUAAUACUGUCAAACAACUUUCAUUAAAAGAGAUAAUUGCUCAACAAACCAAAAUUAAUGAUGAAGUUAAACAAAGGCUAGAUACAAAUGAAUCAUCUCUAAAAGAUAUACACAAAAAAUGGAUUUUCUAAUAACUGCCUUUGAUGAGCAAAACACUCUUAAUAAAAGGGUAUAGCUUAAAUUAAUAAAGAUAGCUGCUGCACUGCCUGUUGCUACUAACAUUGAGCAGGUAAAGAAUAUAACUACUAGAGGAGGCAAAGCUACCAGAGAUCCACCAUACCCAAGAGAGAAACAAAGAACAUCAGCACUAGUGCAACCAGCAGUGAUAGAAGAGGAAAGCCCAGUUGAAGCAGAAGAUCUGCUCCAACCACCGAGAACUGGAGAAAUGAGGAAAGAUUUUUACGACACCAACUAUUUGCCAUUUCCCAGAAGAAACAGAGGACUGCAGUCGGAUGAGCAGUUUGGUAAGUUUGUAGAGGUCAUUCAGAAAUUAUACGUCAACAUACCUCUGCUCGAUGCCAUACAGGUACCUACAUAUGCAAAGUACAUCAGAGAUAUUCUUAACAAGAAGAGACCACUGCCCACCACUCAGGUUAUCAAGCUGACAGAAGAAUGUAGUGCGGCCAUCCUCAAUAAACCACCAAAGAAGAAGGAAGAUCCUGGAUGUCCCACUAUUGAUUGCUCGAUCAGAAACCAACACUUCAACGAUGCACUUUGUGAUCUCGGAGCAAGUGUCAGUGUGAUGCCAGCAUCAGUCUACAAAAAGCUUGAUCAUGCAGCCUUAGAACCAACAUCAAUGUGUCUACAAUUAGCGGAUCAAUCGGUUCGACACCCCUUGGGCAUCGCCGAGAACAUUCCAGUCAAGAUCAGAGAUUUCCUUGUGCCAGUAGACUUCGUAGUACUGGACAUGAGUCCUGACUCAAAAGUAUCCAUCAUCCUUGGAAGGCCAUUUCUGAGCACUGCCAAUGCCCACAUUGAUGUCGGGAAGGGAGAAAUCAAGUUCAACAUAAACGGUCAAGAAGAACACUUCACAUUCAAACCCAGACCAGAGAGAGACUCUACAGUAAAGGAAGUUCAUGAAGAACCACUGGAGACACCAUCUCUGGAGGAAGGUAACUCAGAAGAUUAAAAGAUUUGGAGGUCCAGCUUGGGGGACCUAAAAAUCCCAAACCCUCACCGGGAGGUAAAUCGGUAAUUAUCCGCAUUAUUAAUUUUCUCAUAUUUAAAUUCUUGCAUAAUUAAAACUUGCAUUAGUCAUAUUUAUUCAUAGCAUUAUUAUAAUAAUGAAAAGCCCCAUAUAAAUAAUAUUCAUGGUGUGUAACAACCCAUAUUUAUUAAUUAUUGUGGAGGCACAAAAAUAUUUUCCAUUAUCAUUUUAAUUUUCAAUUCUCAUAGAUUCUCCUGCAUUAUAUUUAAUUAUAUUAAUCUUCUAGAAGCUUGACCCACACUCCUUGGGUCCCACAUGUCAUACACCACACCACACAUACAUCCCAUCACAUAAUUUCAUCCACCAAUAUGUUUCCACUCACCAGACAUCUUUCCACCAUCCAACAACCACCACACAACAUUAUUCUGCGUGAGAUCAAAGCAAGGAAGCAAGUGGAGGAGGUACACUCAGGAUGGACACCAGGAGUGGGCACCCGCCCACCUACCAAGGGCACCCGCCCUGCUCCCUCUUCCUCCUAUAAAAGGCCACCUCCAGCUCCCCUUCUCUUCACACAAACACUCCAGAAAACCACACAAGCCUCAGUUUCCCGAGAAGGAGUUCUUGUAGUGAAGAGAAGAGAGUAGAGAGAAAGAGGAGAGUGGAAGGGAAGGUUGGAGUUCUUUUGAGAGAGUGAUUAUCACCUAGCAAGUAGUGAUCCCGUUGUCUAAGCGGAAGUAAAAGUUGUUUAGGGGAAGCUCUACCAAAAUAGAAAUUUGUCUUGAACGAUUAACCCCUGGACUACUGACAUUCCGGACAGCUGACCACUAACAUUUUCUCUCACAUUUUCUACUAGUUGUGUUUUUGCCAACUUUUGUUUACAGAAUGUUUAAGAAGGUGAAGAAUGCAGGGAAGGCUCUCAAGAACAUUGGUACAAGGAGAUCAGCUCGACACUCCUCACAGCCAUCAGAGAUGAGCGUCGACCCGACACCCACACAAGCUCCAUCAUCUUCAUCAGGUCAGCAAGUUAAGGUCCUUCUCAAGAUAGGAGACCUUGGACUGAAGACUCGAAGAGAGAAGGAAGUCUAUCAGCAGUUGAAGAACAAAGAUUUCAUUCACACCCCUACUAUCGAUCCAAUCUUACUACAAGAAACAGGUAUGGACACUGAAUUUGACUUAAUUUUCCAGAUGUUAGGUUGGACAAAUUUUUGGAACAUAACUGAGUUGGGUUAUCGUCUUCUCACCCUCGAAUUUCUUUGCACUUUACAAUACUAUGAGGGGGGAAUUGUUUUUCGGAUGUUCAAACAGGAAAUUAUGUUGUCUUGGAGAGAGCUAAGCGACCAUCUUGGUUUCUCUUCAAGAUGCAUCCUGAACAUUGACUCCGAUUUACCCAACUUUGAGAGACACCAGAUUUGGAGAGAAAUAUCUAGAGAUAAUUUUUACAGUCAAGCCCGAACCAGUGACAUGGAACACCCCACUCUUAGGAUGUUUCACAAAUGGCUUGGGUACAAUCUUUUCUAUCGCGAUGAUAUUAGGAAAGUAAGAGUAGGAGAUUUACAACUUUUAUAUGCUGCUAUUAGUAAAGUACCUACUUCACCUGUUACAUUAUUAGUUUCACAUUGGCUUAGUAUACCUAGUCUUCAAGGACCAGUAGGAUGUACUUCACUUAUCACUCGUCUAGCUUCUAAUCUUCACUUACUAGAAAACUCAUCGUUGGAUUUCAUAGAAGAAUUAAGAAUUUAUCAUGGCUAUGACACAUUUAGACAAGCUCGGAUGUUAAAGAAAGAGGGAAAUAUAAUGUAUAUGCUAUAUGAUGAUAAAGGCAAGAUUCGGUUACCUAACCCGAACCUUGGCCUCUACGUUGUGCAAAACUUUUUGAUUGAGAUUGCAGCAACACCAGUGAGCUAGAGAACUCCACAGCGAGUGGCAUCUGAAAGGAUAACCACUCACCGAGAACGCACCUGGUAUGGAGCUGACCCUGGACCAGAAGAAGCAGCGCACCUGCAUUAUUGCGAUUACAACCCUCGAGUCCUUCGAGACCCAUGGGUUCGACAUGCGCAACCACAAGAGCCAACAGAGGAGACAUGGCCGGAGAGCCAAGAUCACCAGUGGACAAACCCGCCUUUCCAUACGGGGAGGUACUCCACUGAUCCAUACGGAGCUUCAGGAUCCAGACCUCCGCCCCAAUUUGAUGCAGGACGAUACUCCGAAGCCUCCUACGCUUUCACGAAUGAUUACUAUCAAGAGGCCGGUGCUUUCUUCACUCGUACCGACAACACCCUCCUCGACAUCCAGAACACGCAAGCAGAACAUGGAAGACUCUUGGAAGAACAACAAAAAUGGAACCAGGAUCAUGCAGCUGCAGUAGAAGAGCUGAGACAAGAUACAACAACAAUGAACGACAACAUUACAACCAUGAUGCGGUUCUGGAACAUCGGGUAAGACCGACGUCAACAUCCAGCUUGGGGGAGUUCCUCCCAAAUUUAUCAAGUAAGUUUUUAUUUGCUCUUCUUAUUUAUUCUAUUCUGUCUUAGUAUUUAAUUUAUCUUAAAAGGAAAAACUUAGAAAACCAAAUAAAUAUUUUCUUGCUUUAAUUUCCUGCAUUUUAAUAAACAUGAAAACAAAACAAAAAGAGUGUGUAGAUAAGUGUGCUUUAUUUUCCUGUUAAGUUUAAUCUCUAGAAAAAAUAUAAAGACCAAAAAGAUGCAUGAUGGAAAUGAUGAACAAUUGCUCUGUUUGCUUACUUACAAGUACCUAGCUUUUAUAUUAGAAUUCUUCCAGGAAUUACUAAAACUAAAAUUAUUAUCUUUGGGAAGCAUAAAACUAAAGUCUAGGUAAGAGAAAGGCAUGAUAUAAAGUUGAGCUACUGUUUAUCCUGUUUCUACUACACUAAGUUCUGGAGAUUUAUUUUGAAAACUUACAAAUCACAUGAUGAGUUCCUAGCAUACAAAACUACCUACCACAGCUAUACUUGCUAUAACAUCUUUUACUAUAUUCACAUUGAGUUUGAUCGAGCUGUGUAGACCCUUAGGAGCUUUUCAUGUGGUUAAAUUAAGAUAUUCACUUGCACACAUCUACCACACCAUCCAUCACCAAUCAUUAAAAUUGCUAAAAAUAUUUUCACUCACUGUCCCGAAUAUUGUUAUUCUCUCUCUCUAAAAAGAUUCAAUGCAGAAGAGGCAUGGGUUAUGCAAAAAUAUGCGAGGAAAUAAAAAGGGGCAAGUGCCCGGAACCUCGAUAAAGAAAGAAAAAGAGUGAGACGAGAGGUAAAAAUGGACAAGUGUCCGAAGUAGAAUUAGGGGUACAAAGAUGCCCACUUGAGCGGAAAAAAUGGACAAGUGUCCGAUAGUAGAAUUAGGGGUAUCUACUACCCACCUGAAAAAAAAGAGAAAAGAUAGCCCAUGUUUUCCAAAAGCAAAGAUCAAAGAAGAGAAGAGGUAGCAACAUGAGGAGCAAUGAGAACUAAGUUUUAUUAACACUUAUACAUUUUCACCAUUACUAUCAUUUACUCCACCACACAUGCACAUCUUGAUUUAAUUAUAUGCUGAGUUCCUUUGGAUCCAUGGCUCGAUUAGACAAUAUAUGUAUGAGCUGUUUUUCACUCCUAUGAGCUCCACUUAAACAUUCCAUUAGCUAUAGGUAAGUGACAUUAUGGUAAGGAUCCACAAAUACCACAUAUAGAGAGACUUGAGAGAAUCAUUGCUGGGAACUCUGAGUUUUAUUUUAAAAACUUAUGAAAAACUCUAGAACAAAGGUGAAGUAUAGACAGGAGGGAUAGUGCUUGACUUAACUAUUUUGUCUUUCGAUUACUUAAGAUUUAAGUGCAGAUACUAAACUCCACAACACUUCACUCUAAUCUGGAAGAAUUUUAUGUAAAAGCAUGUGUGCCUGUCAGGAAAGAAAACAUCGAAGCAACUCCUGAUCCGUCUGAGUUUAGCUGUUUGCUCAGGGACGAGCAAAGGGUAAGCUUGGGGGAGUUUGUUGACGGUCCUUAAGUACUAAAAUUAAUAAUCAAAUAAACAUGGAAAAGGAUCAAUAUGAAACAAAUAUCUAGAAUUAGGGUUUUAUCUGACAGAAUUCCACGAGUUUUGGUGUUUAUCUAUUUCUGCAGGGGUUUAUCAGAAAAUAUGGAGAGAAGGCCCACAUGUCAUGUUUACAACGAGAUAAUUACGUGCCGCGCAAUUUUCCUCAAUCUAGAAGAAUCCAGAAGCCACGAGAACGAACGAGAAGGGAUUCGGGCUCAGGGGCAGGGCGCCCGCCCACCCCCCUUGGGCGCCCGCCCAGGGUAGGAGUCCAGUCAGGACUCUGCUUCGGGACAACGCUCCACCGACCUAAAGGAUCAAUCUAAACCAUACAAUCUAUGUCGGUUUGAUCCAAUGGCUCACGUUCACUUGAGGGGACUAUAAAACCAGACCCCCUAGCCCCUGGAGGAGAAGAGAAGAAAUCAUUAUUCAGAGGUAGCCAUCAAAGUUAGGGUUUAGAGCUUCUCUCCCACAGAGAAUUAGAAUUAGCUACUCCCUAAUCCUUCAAGUUUAGAGGUUUGAUUAGAUAGCAAUUAGAGAAGUCGAGCACUACGCUCUGGAUUCGGAUCUUCGGUAAUAAAGAUUGGUAUUAUUCAUAUCUUUCUCUAAUUCUAUUGUUCUAAUUGCAUUAUGUCUCUAAUUAUUAUGUUCUUAGUUUGUUCUAGUUCUAUAUUUGAUAUAGUUCUAAUUGAUAAUGAGUUUAUGUAUAAGUUUGCAAAGCACUUAGCUCUUGACGCGAGGGAGUUAGGUGAUAGAUCACAUGUGAGCGUGGUGCUUAGAUGUUAUUUAUCUGCAAAUGUAUCCUAUUGGCCGGGUCGUGUGGUAGUUCGCGAUAGUGACAGCUUCGUUGAUUCUUAUAUAGUCCACCCUCCGUUGAUAGGACAGGCAGAACCGGUAUUGUGGAGUAAGUCAUGCGAUGUUCUGAUUUACUUUAUCAAUGUUCCUUAUACAUGAAUGAAGAGUCUUUUAUGCUAUGUAUGAUCUUGUAGAUAACUAGAGUAGAUUAUGACUUAGUAGUUAGUAGAUAACUUAGAAUCCAUUCUCUAGCUAAUCCGACAUCACCUACAUAUAUGAGGAGUAGUCUAUUUUCUAAUCGCUGUGUUAUCUACCCAUGAACUUAUAAUUCAUUAUCAUUAUCUUUAUGGUUUACCCCUUGCUAAAGUAUGUGACUGUGUGAUGAGUUUCUCAUUAGUAAUCAUGUUCUUGCAAGUUUAUCUCUAGAUUAUGCCUUGAUAGAUUUUGCCCCCUUGAUUUAAUUUUAUUUUCUUGAGAUCCCUUGAGCAAAAUUAUAAAUAACGAUACCUGGAAUACUUAUCCUGGUGAAAUGCUACAAUGAGGUGUUUUAUCUGUGCGCUUGCGGAUAGAAUAGAUUAUUUUCUAGAGAGCCUUUACAUUUAUAAAUACCUUUGUACACUCUGGCGCCAUGCUAGGGAUGACAACCUAGUAUCUAAGUGGUGUUAGCUAGUGUCAACAAAAGGCAUGAUAUAAAGUGAGCUACUGUUUAUCUUGUUCCUACUACACUAAGUUCUGGAGAUUUAUUUUGGAAACUUACAAAGCACAUGAUGAGUUCCUAGCAUUACAAACUACCUACCACAGCCAUGUUUGCUAUAACAUCUUUUACUACACUUACAUUGAGUUUGAUCGAGCUGUGUAGACCUUUAGGAGCUUUUCAUGUGGUUAAAUUAAGAUAAUCACUUGCACACAUCUACCACACCAUCCACCACUAUUUAUUAAAAUUGCUAAAAAUAAUAUUAUCACUCACUGUCCCAAAUAUUGUUAUUCUCUCUCUCUAAAAAAAGAUUCAAUGCAGAAGAGGCAUGGGUUAUGCAAAAAUAUGCGAGGAAAUAAAAAGGGGCAAGUGCCCGGAACCUUGGAAAAGAAAGAAAAAGAGUGAGACGAGGGGUAAAAAUGGACAAGUGUCCGAAGUAGAAUUAGGGGGUACAAAGAUGCCCACUUAAGCGGAAAAAAUGGACAAGUGUCCGAUAGUAGAAUUAGGGGUGUCUACUACCCACCUGAAAAAAAAGAAAAAAAAAGAGAAAAAGAUAGCCCAUGUUCUCCCAAAGCAAAGAUCAAAGAAGAGGAGAGAUAGCAAUAUAAGGAGCAAAUUGAGAAGAAAGCUUUAUCAUUACUUAUAUAUUUUUACCAUCACUAUCAUUUACUCCACCACACAUGCACAUCUUGAUUUAAUUAUAUGCUGAGUUCCUUUGGAUCCAUGGCUCGAUUAGACAACAUAUGUAUGAGCUGUUUUUCACUCCUAUGAGCUCCACUUAAAUAUUCCAUUAGCUAUAGGUAAGUGAUAUUUUAAGGAUCCACAAAUACCACAUAUAGAGAGACUUAAGAGAAUCAUUGCUGGGAACUCUGAGUUUUAUUUUGAAAACUUAUGAAAAACUCUAGAACAAAGGUGAAGUAUAGACAGGAGGAAUAGUGCUUGACUUAAUUGUUUUGUCUUUGAAUUACUUAAAGACUUAAGUGCAGAUACUAAACUCCAUAACACUUCACUCUAAUCUGGAAGAAUUUUAUAAAAGCAUGUGUGCCUGUCAGGAAAGAAAACAUCGAAGCAACUUCUAAACCGUCUAAGUUUAGCUGUUUGCUCAGGGACGAGCAAAGGGUAAGCUUGGGGGAUUUUGUUGACGGUCCUUAAGUACUAAAAUUAACAAUCAAAUAAACAUGGAAAAUGAUCAAUAUGGACCAAACAUCUAGAAUUAGGGUUUUAACUGACAGAAUUCCACGAGCUUUGGUGUUUAUCUAUUUCUGCAGGGGGUUAUCAGAGAAUAUGGAGAGAAGGCCCACAUGUCAUGUUUACAACGAGAUAAUUACGUGCCGCGCAAUUUUGCUCAAUCUAGAAGAGUCCAGAAGCCACGGGAACGAACGAGAACACGAUCGGGCUCGGGGACAGGGCGCCCGCCCACCCCCCUUGGGCGCCCGCCCUGGCCAGGAGUUGGAUCAGGACUCUGUUUCGUGACUAAACUCCACCGACCUAAAGGAUGAAUCUAAACCAUACAAUCAAUGUCGGUUUGAUCCAACGGCCCAAAUUCACUUGAAAGGACUAUAAAACCAAGGCCUCUCCACCCCUGGAGGAGAGAGGAGAAGAGAAGAAAUCAUUAUUCAGAGGUAGCCAUCAAAGUUAGGGUUUAGAGCUUCUCUCCCACAGAGAAUUAGAAUUAGCUACUCCCUAAUCCUUGAAGUUUAGAGGUUUGAUUAGAUAGCAAUUAGAGAAGUAGAGCACUACGCUCUGGAUUCGGAUCUUCGGUAAUAAAGAUUGGUAUUAUUCAUAUCUUUCUCUAAUUCUUUGUUCUAAUUGCAUUAUGUCUGUAAUUAUUAUGUUCUUAGUUUGCUCUAGUUCUAUAUUUGAUAUAGUUAUGAUUGAUAAUGAGUUUAUGUAUAAGUUUGCAAAGCGCUUAGCUCUUGACGCGAGGGAGUUAGGUGAUAGAUCACAUGUGAGCGUGGUGCUUAGAUGUUAUUUAUCUGCAAAUGUAUCCUAUUGGCCGGGUCGUGUGGUAGUUCGUGAUAGUGACAGCUUUGUUGAUUCUUAUAUAGUCCACCCUCCAUUGAUAGGACAGGCAGAACCGGUAUUGUGGAGUAAGUCUUGCGAUGCUCUGAUUUACUUUAGCAAUGUUCCUUAUACAUGAAUGAAGAGUCUUUUAUGCUAUGUAUGAUCUUGUAGAUGACUAGAGUAGAUUAUGACUUAGUAGA
RNAcentral lists this long non-coding RNA (10264 nucleotides) under Sorghum bicolor (sorghum). RNAcentral's name for it is "long non-coding RNA (SBIC_LNC008062)". The record is from RNAcentral. Lineage: Eukaryota; Viridiplantae; Streptophyta; Magnoliopsida; Poales; Poaceae.